Molecule: ribosomal RNA, 253 nt
Filed under: uncultured bacterium
Lineage: Bacteria
Description: partial 16S ribosomal RNA
Rfam family: Bacterial small subunit ribosomal RNA
Source: RNAcentral
UACAGAGGUGGCAAGCGUUGUUCGGAAUUACUGGGCGUAAAGGGCGCGUAGGCGGCUUGGUCAGUCCCGUGUGAAAUCCCUCGGCUCAACUGAGGAACUGCACGGGAAACUGCCUGGCUUGAGUUCGGGAGAGGGAAGCGGAAUUCCGGGUGUAGCGGUGAAAUGCGUAGAUAUCAGGAGGAACACCGGUGGCGAAGGCGGGUCUCUGGGCCGAUACUGACGCUGAGGAGCGAAAGCGUGGGGAGCGAACAGG